AACGAACGCUGGCGGCGCGCCUAACACAUGCAAGUCGAACGAGAAGGCGUAGCAAUACGCUUGUAGAGUGGCGAACGGGUGAGUAAUACGUGGGUGACCUACCCUCGAGUGGGGAAUAACCCGCCGAAAGGCGGGCUAAUGCCGCGUACGCUUCCGUCCUCACGGGGACGGAAGGAAAGCUGUACCGUGGGUACGGCGCUCAAGGAUGGGCUCACGUCCUAUCAGCUUGUUGGUAGGGUAACGGCCACCAAGGCUACGACGGGUAGCUGGUCUGAGAGGACGAUCAGCCACACUGGCACUGCGACACGGGCCAGACUCCUACGGGAGGCAGCAGUGAGGAAUAUUGCGCAAUGGGCGAAAGCCUGACGCAGCGACGCCGCGGUGGGGAU
RNAcentral lists this ribosomal RNA (389 nucleotides) under uncultured bacterium. RNAcentral's name for it is "bacterial SSU rRNA". It matches the Rfam family "Bacterial small subunit ribosomal RNA", at positions 29 to 409 of the family's 1533-position model. The record is from RNAcentral.